ACGGCACCUUCGGGUGUAGUGGCGGACGGGUUAGUAACGCGUGGGAACGUGCCCUUCUCUACGGAAUAGCCUCGGGAAACUGAGCGUAAUACCGUAUACGCCCUUUGGGGGAAAGAUUUAUCGGAGAAGGAUCGGCCCGCGUUGGAUUAGGUAGUUGGUGGGGUAAUGGCCUACCAAGCCUACGAUCCAUAGCUGGUUUGAGAGGAUGAUCAGCAACACUGGGACUGAGACACGGCCCAGACUCCUACGGGAGGCAGCAGUGGGGAAUCUUAGACAAUGGGGGCAACCCUGAUCUAGCCAUGCCGCGUGAGUGACGAAGGCCUUAGGGUCGUAAAGCUCUUUCGCUGGAGAAGAUAAUGACGGUAUCCAGUAAAGAAACCCCGGCUAACUCCGUGCCAGCAGCCGCGGUAAUACGGAGGGGGUUAGCGUUGUUCGGAAUUACUGGGCGUAAAGCGCGCGUAGGCGGAUUGGAAAGUUGGGGGUGAAAUCCCGGGGCUCAACCCCGGAACGGCCUCCAAAACUCCCAGUCUUGAGUUCGAGAGAGGUGAGUGGAAUUCCGAGUGUAGAGGUGAAAUUCGUAGAUAUUCGGAGGAACACCAGUGGCGAAGGC
This 610-nucleotide ribosomal RNA is filed under the name Marivivens donghaensis. RNAcentral's name for it is "bacterial SSU rRNA". It matches the Rfam family "Bacterial small subunit ribosomal RNA", at positions 66 to 722 of the family's 1533-position model. Lineage: Bacteria; Pseudomonadati; Pseudomonadota; Alphaproteobacteria; Rhodobacterales; Paracoccaceae. The record is from RNAcentral.